UCGUAACAAGGUUUCCGUAGGUGAACCUGCGGAAGGAUCAUUACCGAGUGAGGGCCCUCUGGGUCCAACCUCCCACCCGUGUCUAUCGUACCUUGUUGCUUCGGCGGGCCCGCCGUUUCGACGGCCGCCGGGGAGGCCUUGCGCCCCCGGGCCCGCGCCCGCCGAAGACCCCAACAUGAACGCUGUUCUGAAAGUAUGCAGUCUGAGUUGAUUAUCGUAAUCAGUUAAAACUUUCAACAACGGAUCUCUUGGUUCCGGCAUCGAUGAAGAACGCAGCGAAAUGCGAUAAGUAAUGUGAAUUGCAGAAUUCAGUGAAUCAUCGAGUCUUUGAACGCACAUUGCGCCCCCUGGUAUUCCGGGGGGCAUGCCUGUCCGAGCGUCAUUGCUGCCCUCAAGCACGGCUUGUGUGUUGGGCCCCCGUCCCCCUCUCCCGGGGGACGGGCCCGAAAGGCAGCGGCGGCACCGCGUCCGGUCCUCGAGCGUAUGGGGCUUUGUCACCUGCUCUGUAGGCCCGGCCGGCGCCAGCCGACACCCAACUUUAUUUUUCUAAGGUUGACCUCGGAUCAGGUAGGGAUACCCGCUGAACUUAAGCAUAUCAAUAAGCGGAGGAA
RNAcentral lists this unclassified non-coding RNA (611 nucleotides) under Aspergillus fumigatus. Its description in RNAcentral is "sequence contains 18S rRNA gene, ITS1, 5.8S rRNA gene, ITS2, 28S rRNA gene". The stretch from base 229 to 382 matches the Rfam family "5.8S ribosomal RNA". Lineage: Eukaryota; Fungi; Ascomycota; Eurotiomycetes; Eurotiales; Aspergillaceae. The record is from RNAcentral.